AGCGGGAACGAAACGGUCGAUCCUAAUACGGUCGGCUAAUGACGGUACCUGCAGAAGAAGCACCGGCUAACUACGUGCCAGCAGCCGCGGUAAUACGUAGGGUGCGAGCGUUAAUCGGAAUUACUGGGCGUAAAGCGUGCGCAGGCGGUGACAUAAGACAGAUGUGAAAUCCCCGGGCUCAACUGCGAACUGCGUUGGAGCUGUGUGGCUCGAGUGUAGCAGAGGGGGGUGGAAUUCCACGUGUACAGUGAAAUGCGUAGAGAUGUGGAGGAACACCGAUGGCGAAGGCAGCCCCCUGGGUUAACACUGACGCUCAUGCACGAAAGCGUGGGGAGCAAACAGGAUUUUAAGAUACCCUGGUAGUCCACGCCCUAA
This 375-nucleotide ribosomal RNA is filed under the name uncultured beta proteobacterium. RNAcentral's name for it is "bacterial SSU rRNA". It matches the Rfam family "Bacterial small subunit ribosomal RNA", at positions 438 to 805 of the family's 1533-position model. Lineage: Bacteria; Pseudomonadati; Pseudomonadota; Betaproteobacteria. The record is from RNAcentral.